This 258-nucleotide ribosomal RNA is filed under the name uncultured bacterium. Its description in RNAcentral is "partial small subunit ribosomal RNA". It matches the Rfam family "Bacterial small subunit ribosomal RNA", at positions 26 to 285 of the family's 1533-position model. The record is from RNAcentral.
AGGACGAACGCUGGCGGCGUGCUUAACACAUGCAAGUCGAGCGAGGCCCUUCUUCGGAAGGUGUCCGAGCGGCGAACGGGUGAGUAACACGUGGGCAACCUGCCCUCAGCUCUGGGAUAACCCCCGGGAAACCGGGGCUAAUACCGGAUAUGACUUCGAUCGACAUCGACCGAAGUGGAAAGAAUUUCGGCUGAGGAUGGGCCCGCGGCCUAUCAUGCUUGAUGGUGAGGUAACGGCCCACCAUGGCGACGACGGGUA